This 208-nucleotide long non-coding RNA is filed under the name Elaeis guineensis (African oil palm). RNAcentral describes it as "long non-coding RNA (EGUI_LNC007668)". Lineage: Eukaryota; Viridiplantae; Streptophyta; Magnoliopsida; Arecales; Arecaceae. The record is from RNAcentral.
UGAGUGAAUAUCCCACGACUGCAUAGUUUUCAUCUUUCAUCCAAGAACAAGUUCAAGCUGUCCAAGGUUACUCCAAGCCUAUCAAUAACCCAUUUUCAAACAUAUAUAAUCCAAGUUGGAGGAACCAUCCUAAUUUUUCUUGGAGAUCCCAACAGACUCAAACUCAAAUCCAAAUUCUUUCUGUGCAAAACUUUCAAAAUAAGCCCCA